UACGGAGGGUGCAAGCGUUGUUCGGAAUUACUGGGCGUAAAGGGCGCGUAGGCGGCCUCAUCAGUCCGGUGUGAAAGCCCGGGGCUCAACCCCGGAAGUGCACUGGAUACUGUGGGGCUUGAGUUCGGGAGAGGAGGGCAGAAUUCCCGGUGUAGGGGUGAAAUCCGUAGAUAUCGGGAGGAAAACCAGUGGCGAAGGCGGCCCUCUGGAACAGAACUGACGCUGAGGCGCGAAAGCGUGGGGAG
Molecule: ribosomal RNA, 245 nt
Filed under: uncultured Deferrisoma sp.
Lineage: Bacteria; Pseudomonadati; Thermodesulfobacteriota; Deferrisomatia; Deferrisomatales; Deferrisomataceae
Description: partial 16S ribosomal RNA
Rfam family: Bacterial small subunit ribosomal RNA
Source: RNAcentral